GGGAAGAGCUCUUCAUCAAGAGGACAGUUGUUGUGACAACUGAGAAACAGCAAUAAUAAAAACUGGAAUCUGCCAUUUGAGUUCUUCACCUAUCCCCUCAUCACUGCUAUAGCCAAACAGAAGUGAGAAGACGGAAGAAAAGAAUUCUUACAGAGACAAGACGUAAGAGGAAAGAAGAGAAGAGACGGAGUUUCACCGUGUUAGCCAGGAUGGUCUCGGUCUCUUGACCUCGUGAUCCACCCGCCUCGGCCUCCCAAAGUGCUGGGAUUACAGGCGUGAGCCACCGCGCCUGACCUUGAUGAGUUCCCGUUUCCCGUCUAGGACGUCCUAAUUUUGAACAGAACAAACAGCACUUGCAACACCCAACCCAUCAGGAAAUCCCGUUGUCUCUGCCUUUGGAAGAUCCAGAACCUCAUGGAUUGUUACCAUUUCCCAGCUACUCACCAUUGCAGCUGGAAACACCGUCCUCUGUCACUGGAUUCCCACGCGCACCCGCCAGCUCCCCUGCUCCAGAGCCUGGCUCCUUCCGCAGCAGCGAGAGGGUCCCCACGCAAGCCAGCCUCAGGUGCUCACUUCAGCAGCACAUCUGCUAAAACUGGAACAUACAGAGAAGAGGAACCUGGCCCCUGUGUAAACAUGACAUGGAAAUUCAUGGGACAUUCCAUAUUUUUAUGAAUAUACUAAAAGCCGCUGAAUUGUAGGCAUUGAAAAUAAUACAUUUUAUGGCAUGUGAAUUAUAUCUCAAUUCAGCUACUGUAAACUAAAUAAACAAAAGUAAACCAUGCCCAUCCUCCGCUCAAAGCCCUGCAAUGGUUAUUUCAUUCAAAGUAAAGUCUAUGUUCUUAAAAAAGCCAAAAA
This 858-nucleotide long non-coding RNA is filed under the name Homo sapiens (human). The record is from RNAcentral. Lineage: Eukaryota; Metazoa; Chordata; Mammalia; Primates; Hominidae.